GGGCCCGCGGGCCGGGCGGGCUCGGGGCGGCCGGGACGAGGAGGGGCGACGACGAGCUGCGAGCAAAGAUGUGCCCCGGGACCCCCGGCACCUUCCAGUGGAUUUCCUUGCGGAAAGGAUGUUGGCGGUCCCUGUGACCUGUGGAGACACGGCCAGAUCUGCCCUCCAGACCAUAGCUGUCUGCAGUGCAGGAAGCCAACUAUUAAGGGGAAACAAAAGUGUUCUUAGGAGUCCUGCUGUCACUGUGGAUUGAGCCGGUGAAGCCCUGAGGGAUUUCAUCGCUGAGGUGGAUGGAGAAGCAGCUGGGGGCCUUGGCUGUAAGGACCCCUAAGGGCCUGAUCUUUUGGCCAGAAGGAGAUUAAAAAGAUGCCCCUCAAGAUGGCUGUGCCUGUCAGCUGCAUGGAGCUUCGUUCAAGUAUUUUCUGAGCCUGAUGGAUUUACAGUGAUCUUCAGUGGUCUGGGGAAUAACGCUGGUGGAACCAUGCACUGGAAUGACACACGCCCGGCACAUUUCAGGAUACUAAAAGUGGUUUUAAGGGAGGCUGUGGCUGAAUGCCUCAUGGAUUCUUACAGCUUGGAUGUCCAUGGGGGACGAAGGACUGCAGCUGGCUGAGAGGGUUGAGAUCUCUGUUUACUUAGAUCUCUGCCAACUUCCUUUGGGUCUCCCUAUGGAAUGUAAGACCCCGACUCUUCCUGGUGAAGCAUCUGAUGCACGUUCCAUCCGGCGCUCAGCUGGGCUUGAGCUGACCAUACUCCCUGGAGCCUUCUCCCGAGGUGCGCGGGUGACCUUGGCACAUACAGCCAUCAUGAUGGUACUUUAAGUGGAGGCUGAAUCAUCUCCCCUUUGAGCUGCUUGGCACGUGGCUCCCUUGGUGUUCCCCUUUUACUGCCAGGACACUGAGAUUUGGAGAGAAUCCUGUUACACCUGGGAUUUAGGCACUUUCAAUCUGAAAAAAUACAUAUCCUUUCAGCACUCUGGACGGACUUGAGAACUGUCCUUACGUGACCUAAAGCUGGAGUAUUUUGAGAUUGGAGAAUUAAGAAGGACAGAAUAACGGGCUCCCAGAUUCACAAGCCCCACCAAGAGGAUCACCCCAGGAACGCUUGGAGGCUGAGGAGUUCACUGAGGCUACUGCAUCUUGAGACUCAGGAUGAAGACCCAGCUUGGGGCUGUCAAAGAGGCCUGAAGAGGCAGAACACCCCAGAGGAGCCUGGGGCCACCACCCAGCAUCACUGUGGGAAAACGGCAGCAGGAAAUGUCCUCUCGCCUGCGUGCUCCACCUCGGUCCACGCCUUCCCUCCUUCUGGAAGCCUUGCCUGACCACUGGCCUGCCCCUUCUAUGGGAAUCACUACUGACCUUGCAGCUUAUUAUAGACUUAUAUGUAUGCAGAAAUAUAAUUUUAAUUACUUUUAUAUUGCUCCGAGAGUGAUACCAAAUCAUGAUAGAAAAUUUAAAUAAACAAAAUAGCCAAAUUAAUACCAGUAAUCACCCCAGUCAAAUAUACCCAGCUCACAUUUUGAUGUAAAAUCUUCCAGUACAGUUUCUAUGUACAUAUAUAUAUUUUUAGGAAGGAGAUUAUAUUUUACAUGCUGUUUUCUAGAACGUUCUUUUAAAACUGUAUCAUAAACAUCUUGCCUUAUAAUUCAAUAGUCUUCUACAACAAACUUUGCUAAUGAAUUUUUUUUUUUAUCAUGG
Homo sapiens (human) is the source of this 1697-nucleotide long non-coding RNA. Ensembl annotates it as Pvt1 oncogene. Its record names the gene PVT1. The record is from Ensembl. Lineage: Eukaryota; Metazoa; Chordata; Mammalia; Primates; Hominidae.